This 301-nucleotide ribosomal RNA is filed under the name uncultured bacterium. RNAcentral describes it as "partial 16S ribosomal RNA". It matches the Rfam family "Bacterial small subunit ribosomal RNA", at positions 509 to 809 of the family's 1533-position model. The record is from RNAcentral.
CAGCCGCCACGGGAAUACGUAGGGUGCAAGCGUUAAUCGGAAUUACUGGGCGUAAAGCGUGCGCAGGCGGUUCGCUAAGACAGAUGUGAAAUCCCCGGGCUUAACCUGGGAAUUGCAUUUGUGACUGGCGGGCUAGAGUAUGGCAGAGGGGGGUAGAAUUCCACGUGUAGCAGUGAAAUGCGUAGAGAUGUGGAGGAAUACCGAUGGCGAAGGCAGCCCCCUGGGCCAAUACUGACGCUCAUGCACGAAAGCGUGGGGAGCAAACAGGAUUAGAUACCCGUGUAGUCCCUGUCUCUUAUAA